UGAGUACGAGAUGCUACGGCGUCGAAGCAGUGUAUGUCAGACUUCCAAGAAAAGCUUGCAAUGUCAUAAAUAAAUAAUGCCUGUACCAUAACCGACACAGGUGGGUAGGUAGAGUAUACUAAGGGGCGCGAGAUAACUCUCUCUAAGGAACUCGGCAAAAUAACUCCGUAACUUCGGGAGAAGGAGUGCCUUAUUUUAUAAGGUUGCAAUAACAAGAUCCAAGCAACUGUUUACCAAAAACACAGGUCUCCGCUAAGUCGUAAGACGAUGUAUGGGGGCUGACGCCUGCCCAGUGCCAGAAGGUUAAAGAAGUCGGUUAGCUUUGCUAAGCUGAUAACUGAAGCCCUGGUGAACGGCGGCCGUAACAAUAACGGUCCUAAGGUAGCGAAAUUCCUUGUCGGGUAAGUUCCGACCCGCACGAAAGGCGUAAUGAUUUGGAUACUGUCUCGGAGAGGGACUCGGUGAAAUAGACUUGUCUGUGAAGAUGCGGACUACCUGCACCAGGACAGAAAGACCCUAUGAAGCUUUACUGUAACUUGAAAUUGAAAUUGGACUUAUUUGCGCAGUAUAGGUGGGAGGCGUUGAAAAUAAUCUUGCGGGAUUCUUGGAGCCAUCAGUGAGAUACCACUCCUAUAAUGUUAGAUUUCUAACUUUGUAUCAUAAUCUGGUCAAAGAACAGUUUCAGGCGGGCAGUUUGACUGGGGCGGUCGCCUCCCAAAUGGUAACGGAGGCGUACAAAGGUUUCCUCUGAACGGGUAGAAAUCGUAUCUAGAGUGUAAAGGCAUAAGGAAGCUUGACUGUGAGACCUACAAGUCGAGCAGGGACGAAAGUCGGUCUUAGUGAUCUGACGGUGCUGAGUGGAAAGGCCGUCACUCAACGGAUAAAAGUUACUCUAGGAUAACAGGCUGAUCUCCCCCAAGAGUUCACAUCGACGGGGAGGUUUGGCACCUCGAUGUCGGCUCAUCGCAUCCUGGGGCGGUAGUACGUCCCAAGGGUUGGGCUGUUCGCCCAUGAAAGCGGUACGCGAGCUGGGUUCAGAACGUCGUGAGACAGUUCGGUCCAUAUCCGGUGUAGGCGUUAGAAUAUUGAGAGGAGCCUUCUUUAGUACGAGAGGACCGAGAAGGACAUACCUCUGGUGUACCAGUUAUCGUGCCAACGGUAAACUCUGGGUAGCUAUGUAUGGAGAGGAUAACCGCUGAAAGCAUCUAAGUGGGAAGCCCACCUCAAGAU
This 1230-nucleotide ribosomal RNA is filed under the name metagenome. Its description in RNAcentral is "bacterial LSU rRNA". It matches the Rfam family "Bacterial large subunit ribosomal RNA", at positions 1564 to 2805 of the family's 2925-position model. The record is from RNAcentral.